UCUGAGAGGAUGAUCAGCCACACUGGAACUGAGACACGGUCCAGACUCCUACGGGAGGCAGCAGUGGGGAAUAUUGCACAAUGGGCGAAAGCCUGAUGCAGCCAUGCCGCGUGUAUGAAGAAGGCCUUCGGGUUGUAAAGUACUUUCAGUUGUGAGGAAGGGGGUGUCGUUAAUAGCGGCAUCUCUUGACGUUAGCAACAGAAGAAGCACCGGCUAACUCCGUGCCAGCAGCCGCGGUAAUACGGAGGGUGCGAGCGUUAAUCGGAAUUACUGGGCGUAAAGCGCAUGCAGGUGGUUCAUUAAGUCAGAUGUGAAAGCCCGGGGCUCAACCUCGGAACUGCAUUUGAAACUGGUGAACUAGAGUACUGUAGAGGGGGGUAGAAUUUCAGGUGUAGCGGUGAAAUGCGUAGAGAUCUGAAGGAAUACCAGUGGCGAAGGCGGCCCCCUGGACAGAUACUGACACUCAGAUGCGAAAGCGUG
This 480-nucleotide ribosomal RNA is filed under the name Vibrio coralliilyticus. Its description in RNAcentral is "bacterial SSU rRNA". It matches the Rfam family "Bacterial small subunit ribosomal RNA", at positions 291 to 763 of the family's 1533-position model. Lineage: Bacteria; Pseudomonadati; Pseudomonadota; Gammaproteobacteria; Vibrionales; Vibrionaceae. The record is from RNAcentral.